RNAcentral lists this long non-coding RNA (642 nucleotides) under Homo sapiens (human). RNAcentral describes it as "long non-coding RNA NONHSAT231362". Lineage: Eukaryota; Metazoa; Chordata; Mammalia; Primates; Hominidae. The record is from RNAcentral.
UGAAAACCACGAGGGAGCUUACGGAUUCUGGCUCAGCAGGUGUUGAAUAGUAUAUAAUCAUCUACAUUUUGAACAUGGAUUGUAUGUGAUUCUGGCGGAGGCGAUCCAUCUAGACUGCACUUUAAGAAACAUUGGCUAGAUAGAGGGCUUCUCACCCCUGACUUUACAUCAGACUCACCCGAAUUGUUUUUAAAACCUGAUGAUGAUGCAUGGGCUUCACUUCAAACCAACUAAAGAAGACUCUGGCAUGGGGCAUUCAUUUAAGCAUUUUUAAAAACACCUGAUUUUAAUAUAUAGCAUUCAAGACCCCUGAGAGGAGGUACCAAAUUAAGCAUAAAAUAGCUUGAGGAUUAAUUACAGAAUACUACCGAAAGUACCUAUUUCUCAAGAAUCUAAGUUCAUACUAUUACUUGGCAUUCUCCACCAAAUAUGGAAGUCAAAAAUGUGUUCUCAAUUAGCUUAAUAGUGAAAAGCAAACAAGAAGUUUGGACAACUGACUUUAUUACCCUGACAUGUCACUGCCACAGUAUAAAUCUGAGUGGUCUGGUGCCAUCCCCGUGGUUGCCUGACCUUUCCUGGUUCUGACUGACUUUCUGCUGUCACCCGCUUUAUCUUAUUAUCCCCUUUCCCCUGUAGUCCUGU